Molecule: ribosomal RNA, 523 nt
Filed under: Anentome sp. A LAG-2017
Lineage: Eukaryota; Metazoa; Mollusca; Gastropoda; Neogastropoda; Nassariidae
Description: partial 16S ribosomal RNA
Rfam family: Bacterial large subunit ribosomal RNA
Source: RNAcentral
AAAAACAUCGCUCCUUGAUAUUAUUAUAUAAGGAGUUGGACCUGCCCAGUGAUUUAUUUUAACGGCCGCGGUACUCUGACCGUGCAAAGGUAGCAUAAUCAUUUGCCUUAUAAUUGAAGGCUAGUAUGAAAGGUUUAACAAGAAUAUUACUGUCUCAAUACGAUUAAUUAGAAUUUUAUUUUUAGGUGAAGAAGCCUAAAUUAAAUUAAUAGACAAGAAGACCCUAUCGAGCUUUAAAUAAUUAUGAAGACUAUUUAUUGAUAAAUUUAAAAAAUUAGCUUCUAAAAAUUUUAGUUGGGGCGACUAAGGAACAAUUAAAGCUUCCUUAAUUAAAUUAUUAUGUUCAAAUAUUGAUCCAUAAAAUUAUGAUUAAUGGAAUUAGUUACCGUAGGGAUAACAGCAUAAUCUUUUUUAAGAGCUCUUAUCGAAAAAAAGGUUUGUGACCUCGAUGUUGGACCAAAAUAUCCUAAAGAUGCAGCAGUCUUUAAUGGUUGGUCUGUUCGACCAUUAAAAUUUUACCUGA